AACGAACGCUGGCGGCAUGCCUAACACAUGCAAGUCGAACGAGACCUUCGGGUCUAGUGGCGCACGGGUGCGUAACGCGUGGGAACCUGCCCUUAGGUUCGGAAUAACUCCCCGAAAGGGGUGCUAGUACCGGAUAAUGUCUUCGGACCAAAGAUUUAUCGCCUUUGGAUGGGCCCGCGUGGGAUUAGCUAGUUGGUAGGGUAAAAGCCUACCAAGGCGACGAUCCAUAACUGGUCUGAGAGGAUGAUCAGCCACACUGGGACUGAGACACGGCCCAGACUCCUACGGGAGGCAGCAGUGGGGAAUAUUGGACAAUGGGCGAAAGCCUGAUCCAGCAAUGCCGCGUGAGUGAUGAAGGCCUUAGGGUUGUAAAGCUCUUUUACCCGGGAUGAUAAUGACAGUACCGGGAGAAUAAGCUCCGGCUAACUCCGUG
Molecule: ribosomal RNA, 433 nt
Filed under: uncultured bacterium
Lineage: Bacteria
Description: partial 16S ribosomal RNA
Rfam family: Bacterial small subunit ribosomal RNA
Source: RNAcentral